UUUUAUAUGCACUGGGAAACCAAAAAAUUUGUGCGACUUGCUUUAUCGUGAUAGUCACUUUAUUGCUGUGGUUUUAAAUCAAUUUC
This is a non-coding RNA of Ceratotherium simum simum (southern white rhinoceros), 86 nucleotides long. The record is from RefSeq and is a predicted model, not a curated record. NCBI's taxonomy places the organism in Eukaryota, Metazoa, Chordata, Mammalia, Perissodactyla, Rhinocerotidae.